GUCCUCAGCCAUACCACCUCGAACGUGUCCAAUCCCGUCUGAUCUUGGAAGCUAAGCAGGGUUGAGCCUGGUGAUUAUUUGGAUGGGAGACUGCCUGGGAAGACCAGCUACUAUACC
Otolemur garnettii (small-eared galago) is the source of this 117-nucleotide non-coding RNA. NCBI's taxonomy places the organism in Eukaryota, Metazoa, Chordata, Mammalia, Primates, Galagidae. The record is from Rfam.